Non-coding RNA from Tinamus guttatus (white-throated tinamou), 99 nucleotides. The record is from RefSeq and is a predicted model, not a curated record. Lineage: Eukaryota; Metazoa; Chordata; Aves; Tinamiformes; Tinamidae.
CCAACAAACUUACUUUUUCUAAUGUUUCGAUGCGCUGUUUCAAAAGUCUGUUUUCAGUUCGUAACCUCUGCAAGGCAACCAAGGGAACAAGUCAGAAUU